GAGUUUGAUCCCUGGCUCACACCCCAACGCUGGCGGCAUGCUUUACACAUGCAAGUCGAACGGCAGCACGGGGGCAACCCUGGUGGCGAGUGGCGAACGGGUGAGUAAUGCAUCGGAACGUGCCCAGUAGUGGGGGAUAACACAUCGAAAGAUGUGCUAAUACCGCAUACGCACUACGGUGGAAAGCGGGGGACCGCAAGGCCUUGCGCUAUUGGAGCGGCCGAUGUCCGAUUAGCUAGUUGGUGGGGUAAUGGCCCACCAAGGCGACGAUCGGUAGCUGGUCUGAGAGGAUGAUCAGCCACACUGGGACUGAGACACGGCCCAUACUCCUACGGGAGGCAGCAGUGGGGAAUUUUGGACAAUGGGCGCAAGCCUGAUCCAGCCAUGCCGCGUGAGUGAACAAGGCCUUCGGGUUGUAAAGCUCUUUCGGCCGGAACGAAAUCCUCCGAGCUAAUACCCCGGAUGGAUGACCGUACCGGAAAGAAGAAGCACCGGCUAACUACGUGCCACCAGCCGCGGUAAUACCUUACGGUGCAGGCGUUUAAUCCGAAAUUUACUGGGGCGUAAAGCGGUGCGCCAGGCGGGCUACUCAAGUCAGAAUGUGGAA
This 607-nucleotide ribosomal RNA is filed under the name uncultured Pseudomonadota bacterium. RNAcentral's name for it is "bacterial SSU rRNA". It matches the Rfam family "Bacterial small subunit ribosomal RNA", at positions 9 to 599 of the family's 1533-position model. The record is from RNAcentral. Lineage: Bacteria; Pseudomonadati; Pseudomonadota.